GUGCUCGCUUCGGAGGCACAUAUACUAAAAUUGGAAUGACACAAAGAAGAUUAGCAUGGCCCCUGCACAAGGAUGACAUCCAAAUUCAUGAAAUGUUCCAUAUUUAG
Molecule: small nuclear RNA, 107 nt
Organism: Jaculus jaculus (lesser Egyptian jerboa)
Lineage: Eukaryota; Metazoa; Chordata; Mammalia; Rodentia; Dipodidae
Source: Ensembl